This 253-nucleotide ribosomal RNA is filed under the name uncultured bacterium. RNAcentral's name for it is "partial 16S ribosomal RNA". It matches the Rfam family "Bacterial small subunit ribosomal RNA", at positions 524 to 776 of the family's 1533-position model. The record is from RNAcentral.
UACGAAGGGGGCUAGCGUUGCUCGGAAUCACUGGGCGUAAAGCGCACGUAGGCGGAUUGCUAAGUCAGGGGUGAAAUCCUGGAGCUCAACUCCAGAACUGCUCUUGAUACUGGCGGUCUCGAGUCCGGGAGAGGUGAGUGGAACUGCGAGUGUAGAGGUGAAAUUCGUAGAUAUUCGCAAGAACACCAGUGGCGAAGGCGGCUCACUGGCCCGGUACUGACGCUGAGGUGCGAAAGCGUGGGGAGCAAACAGG